ACUCAAAGGAAUAGACGGGGGCCCGCACAAGCGGUGGAGCAUGUGGAUUAAUUCGUCACUAACCGAAGAACCUUACCCAGGUUUGACAUCUGACGCACCGGUGUGAAAGCAUCGUUCCUUCGGGACGUCAAGACAGGUGUUGCAUGGCUGUCGUCAGCUCGUGUCGUGAGAUGUUGGGUUAAGUCCCGCAACGAGCGCAACCCUCACCGUAUGUUGGCAGCGUAAAGUCGGCAACUCUUACGGAACUGCCCGUGCAAGCGGGAGGAAGGUGGGGACGACGUCAAGUCGGCAUGGCCCUUACGCCUGGGGCUUCACACAUGCUACAAUGGCUCCUACAAAGGGUAGCGAACUCGUGAGGGGGAGCGAAUCUCAAAAAGGGGGCCUCAGUUCGGAUUGUAGGCUGCAACUCGCCUACAUGAAGCUGGAAUCGCUAGUAACCGCCGGUCAGCUAAACGGCGGUGAAUACGUUCCCGGGCCUUGUACACACCGCCCGU
Molecule: ribosomal RNA, 494 nt
Filed under: uncultured bacterium
Lineage: Bacteria
Description: partial 16S ribosomal RNA
Rfam family: Bacterial small subunit ribosomal RNA
Source: RNAcentral